CAUAAUUUAUAAGCCCAUUUAUCUCAGUUUAGGCCCAAAGUUUCUCAAUAUAUCUAAAUAUACUAAAUCAGCAGUCACUUUUCCAGUAAGUGAUGCAUUUAGUGAUUGACACAUCAGCUUAUUACUAUUUUUUUAUUCUUUCAUUUUCACGCAGGAUUUUUAUGUGUCGUUUUUAUUUAACUUUGUUUUUUUCUCAAACGAUUUUCUCUUUCAUCCCCACGAUCUCCACAUCUCCACUUUCUCUCUUCCAAAAACUCCAUGACUACUGUGUAAAAUCUCAAAGAUGGGUUUCUCAACAUCAUUAAUCGAUUACUCAGAAAUCAGGUACUUUGUUCAUCUCAAUGAAUCAAUUUACCAUCUUCUAUUUCUGUUUGUAAUUUUGUUUUAUAUAUAUAGAAUUCUCCAUAGAUCCGAAAAUCAUAUAUCCUUCUUCUAGAUUUCUAUGGCUUUUUUUUUUGUUUUUGCUUUGUUUCUGCUUUAUUUGACUGAAUUCGAUUUCUCUCAUACAUCUCCUUUUUUCCAUAGGAUUAUUCUUUAAUACAAUCAAUGCCUAUGAUUCUCCCGUCUCACAAACACUCAAGGAACAACGACAAAUUUUGGUUUCUCAUCUGAACAGUUGCCUUAAAACAAGGGUGAGUUUAAUAUCUUAAUCGAAGCUCAAAUGUUUUUUUAAUGGUAAAUUAAUUCUCAUACUUUUUACUAUUCUUCUUUCAUCUCUUAUUUUACUUCUUUAUAUCUACAAUUUCUUUUUUGU
Molecule: small RNA, 754 nt
Filed under: Arabidopsis thaliana (thale cress)
Lineage: Eukaryota; Viridiplantae; Streptophyta; Magnoliopsida; Brassicales; Brassicaceae
Description: ATSL179670
Source: RNAcentral